RNAcentral lists this ribosomal RNA (540 nucleotides) under uncultured bacterium. RNAcentral describes it as "bacterial SSU rRNA". It matches the Rfam family "Bacterial small subunit ribosomal RNA", at positions 370 to 917 of the family's 1533-position model. The record is from RNAcentral.
ANUGGGCGAAGCCUGAUGCAGCAACGCCGCGUGGGGGAUGAAGCUUCUCGGAGUGUAAACCCCUUUCGACCCGGACGAAUGUCCGCAAGGACUUGACGGUACGGGUAUAAGAAGCCCCGGCUAACUACGUGCCAGCAGCCGCGGUAAUACGUAGGGGGCCAGCGUUGCUCGGAAUUACUGGGCGUAAAGGGUCCGUAGGCGGUGCGGUAAGUCGGGAGUGAAAUCUCUGGGCUUAACUCAGAGGCUGCUUCCGAAACUACCGUGCUCGAGUGCGAGAGAGGCGAGUGGAAUUGCGGGUGUAGCGGUGAAAUGCGUAGAUAUCCGCAGGAACAUCCGAGGCGAAAGCGGCUCGCUGGAUCGCAACUGACGCUGAGGGACGAAAGCUAGGGGAGCAAACAGGAUUAGAUACCCUGGUAGUCCUAGCCCUAAACCAUCAGGACUUGGGGUUUGCCCUGUACGGGGCAUGUCCCGUAGCUAACGCGUUAAGUCCUGCGCCUGGGGAGUACGGUCGCAAGGCUGAAACUCAAAAAAAUUGACGGA